This 494-nucleotide ribosomal RNA is filed under the name uncultured bacterium. Its description in RNAcentral is "partial 16S ribosomal RNA". It matches the Rfam family "Bacterial small subunit ribosomal RNA", at positions 28 to 507 of the family's 1533-position model. The record is from RNAcentral.
GACGAACGCUGGCGGCGUGCCUAAUACAUGCAAGUAGAACGCUGAAGGAGGAGCUUGCUUCUCCGGAUGAGUUGCGAACGGGUGAGUAACGCGUAGGUAACCUGCCUGGUAGCGGGGGAUAACUAUUGGAAACGAUAGCUAAUACCGCAUAAGAGUAGAUGUUGCAUGACAUUUGCUUAAAGGUGCAAUUGCAUCACCACCAGAUGGACCUGCGUUGUAUUAGCUAGUUGGUGAGGUAACGGCUCACCAAGGCGACGAUACAUAGCCGACCUGAGAGGGUGAUCGGCCACACUGGGACUGAGACACGGCCCAGACUCCUACGGGAGGCAGCAGUAGGGAAUCUUCGGCAAUGGACGGAAGUCUGACCGAGCAACGCCGCGUGAGUGAAGAAGGUUUUCGGAUCGUAAAGCUCUGUUGUAAGAGAAGAACGAGUGUGAGAGUGGAAAGUUCACACUGUGACGGUAUCUUACCAGAAAGGGACGGCUAACUACGUG